Molecule: ribosomal RNA, 471 nt
Filed under: uncultured bacterium
Lineage: Bacteria
Description: bacterial SSU rRNA
Rfam family: Bacterial small subunit ribosomal RNA
Source: RNAcentral
ACGCUGGCGGCGUGCUUAACACAUGCAAGUCGAGCGGAAAGGCCCGUUUCGGGGGUACUCGAGCGGCGAACGGGUGAGUAACACGUGAGUAAUCUGCCCUUGGCUUUGGGAUAACCACCGGAAACGGUGGCUAAUACCGGAUAUGACGGGCUCCGGCACCGGGGUUCGUGGAAAAGUUUUUUUCGGCCAGGGAUGUGCUCGCGGCCUAUCAGCUUGUUGGUGGGGUAAUGGCCUACCAAGGCUUCGACGGGUAGCCGGCCUGAGAGGGUGACCGGCCACACUGGGACUGAGACACGGCCCAGACUCCUACGGGAGGCAGCAGUGGGGAAUAUUGGACAAUGGGCGGAAGCCUGAUCCAGCAACGCCGCGUGAGGGAUGACGGCCUUCGGGUUGUAAACCUCCUUCAGUACCGACGAAGCGCCGAUGAUGGUGGUGACGGUAGGUACAGAAGAAGCACCGGCCAACUACGUG